CCCACCCCCACCCCCACCUCGGUUGGGUUGGACAGGGCUGGGUGAGCGGGUGGCUGCCCGCCGCACCUACUCAUGCCCACUCACCUGUUAUUACAAUCUCCUGUGAUGGUUCGGUAAGGACUGUCCUUGUCACAUUGCACCACAGCAACAGGGGCACCACAGCCCACCUCCCAAGACAGUGCAGUCAAGUCCAGGUUGGGGUCUGAAACAGAAGGGACGCCAAAGGGGUUGAGUUCUUUCUCCAUUCUGGGGCACUGGCGGGAGGCAGGAAACGGAAACCAGAGGUGAACUUAAAUUUCUUGGAAUACAUGUCUCUGUUCUAGUUUAGCCAAUUCUCAGGUGACGUCUUGUUCGAUCCUGACGACUCAUUAAGGUCUGCGAUUCUGAGAAGGGAGAGCUGAGAGUGCCCAUCCCAGGAGGUGCUCCUAAUAGGGAAUGCAGUUUUUGGAGGCCUCCAUUCUCUCCUGCAGGGAGAUGGCCCUUUCCUGCUGUCAGAGGGUCAGUGGGUUUUCUGUACCUGUGGCAUUGGUCAAGGCCACAAUCUGCCUUAGCCUCUUUAAGGACUCCUCCCACACCUGCCCGUUGCGGAUGGCUGUACGUGCCCGGCCUUUGGCAUGUUUGAGGUACUCCGAGAGCUGUCGAGUGGUGGGCCCUUUGGAGCUCAUGGCAGUCUUCAGCCUGCAGUGGAGAGCAAUGGGAGAGUCAGGACCAAGCCCUCCAGCUCCAACCCUGUGGAAGAGGUGUGAAGUGACAGGUGUCUGGGGAGGAGCCGCAGGUGUGUGUGUGGGGGGGGGGGCGGGGGGCAGCACGCAGGAGACAAGCACGCCCUGUGCUCUUUUCUCACUCUUCCCCCUAAUGCCUCUGGAAAAUCUCUUCUGGGAGGAGGAAACAUCUUUAUGUGUCUGGUUCUCAGAAAGGGCAGGCAGAUGAAGGUGAGCACUUCCUGAAUUAGAAUCAGAGGCUUGGGGCUCCUGGAUGGCUCAGCAGUUGAGCGUCUGCCUUUGGCUCAGGACGUGAUCCAGGGGUCCUGGGAUUAAGUUCUGCAUCACACUCCCCACAGGGAGCCUGCUUUUCCCCCUGCCUAUGUCUCUGCCUCUUUUGGUUUGUCUCUCAUGAAUAAAUAAAUAAAGUCUUAAAAAAAAUUGGAGGCUUGUAGCUGUGCUGGCCAGGUCAGAGUCAACUGGGGAAACUUAAAAACACCCAAGCCCUGGAUAUACUGAUACAGACUAAGGAACUUCUAGAAAUAACAGGCAUAGUGGGCCUGUAGUUCUUCCAUUGGAAACAUCCUUAAUUUCAUCUGGCCCUAGAAUUAGCGUGAAGUUUGCUUAGAUGUGGGCUGUAGCAUCAUGCCUCUUGCUGGCCAUUUUUGGGGCAAGAUGUUCAGCCUUUUUACUCUUAAUUUCCAAUGUGUAAAAUGAGAAGCCCAAAUCCCUGCUCCUAAGAAGUUUGUGACAACACAGAGUGCUUAUUGCAAGUUGGUAUCAGAAAAGUCCCCCCAUGAGAAUCCCCCACCCCAUCCCUGUGCCUCAGUCUCCUUGGGUGGAAGAAGAAGGGUUCUGUGAGAUUAUGUCUAUGGCUCUAGACUCUGAAAUGUUGGAAGUGGCUCAAAUUCUCACAAAAUACAGCUCUAUUUUGAGGGUACCAUUCACUGGCUGCAAUACCUGGCCUGUCACUAUGGAUCAGGUUCUUAGCUGUUCCAAGAGUGAGAUGCAUGAUGUCUCAGCUAAGGGACUUCCUGGGCAAACGGGACAGGCAUAAGGACGACUGUGAUGAUUGUGCUCCAAUCAGCAGGCCUACCCCCAAUCAGCCUCCCCCAACCACAAUAAAAAAGAACCCAAGAAAAGAAACCAGACUGUCUUUUGGCUGCUGUUGCAAGAGACAGUAUGGCCCAGUGGCCCAGAGCACUGUGCUGUCCAAUAUGAUGACCGCUAACCAAGCAUGGCUAUUUAAAUGGAACUUCAUUAAAAUGAAAUUAAAUUUAGUUCCUUAUUGGAACGAGCCACAUUUUAAGUGCUCAGUAACCAUAGUUAGUGGUUCCUGUAUCGGAUGGCACAGAUAUAGAAAAUUUCAGCAUCACACAAAGUUCUAUCAGCUAGCAGUGGCCUAGAGUUUGAGCUUAGUAAGCAAGACCGUACCCUGGCUGUUUUGACUCCUGCCACUUACUAGUUGUGUGCCUCUGCGCAAGUUACUCAACUUCUCUGUACCCAGUUUCCCUAUCCAUAAAAUGAGGAUAAGGACAGUAACCUUAGGUUGAACCAGGCUAUUUGAUCAUUUCCCCUCAACAACAAGCUAUUUCAUGUAGUUGGAGUCAGCACUUCAUAGGAUUUGGGGGAGGAAGAAAUGUAAAGCAGCUAGAGCUGCAUCUGGCAUAGAAUAAGCACUCAGGGUGUGUUAGCAUCAGCACCACCAUCCUCAUGAGCCAGCACCCAAAGGGUUCCCCACCCCAUAAACAAGGUGAGUUGUUGGGCCUUGUAGGGCUCCAUCUGGAAGGUCCCAUGCAAGGUUUCUCAUGCUGCCUUCUGUCCUUCUCUGCCCUGAGCUCUGUGUGGCUCUCCUCCCGGAAUGCUGAUUCCCUGGAGACUUACCUCCUACUUUGCUCAGGGCUCGGCUCCAUGGGGGCAGUCAGGGUUUGGGAAGAGGUCUUUAUCCAUCUCCCUACCUACACCCUCACCCUAGCCACCAUCACCUCUCAUUUAGACAGCUGCCACAGCCUCCUGACUGGGCCCUUGCCCUUAUUCCCAUUCCUUUCCCCAUCUCCUGACCAUGCCCCACACAGCUGCUGCGGUGAACUUUUUAGGAGAGGCAAACCAUGCCACUCUGAUUAAAACACUUCAUCGACUCACCCUGGGACCUGGAUGAAUCCAUCAGUUUACUGCACACAUGCUCCUAUGUGCCUUCACUGACUCUGUCUAGUUCCAAAACAUUUUCAUCACCCCCAAAGGAGACCGCAUACCCAUUAAGUAGUCAUUUCCAAUUUCUCCCCUGCCUCCCACCUCCCCACACCCAUCAACCACUAAUCUGCUUUCUGACUCUAUGGCCCUCAGGAUCCACCUCUCUCUUUCACCUCUAUGUGCUGCCCCUCACCUACCACUUCCACCAGCAUUGGCCUUCUUUCUGUUUCCCGAGCCCCCUAAGCUCUUUCCUGCCUUUGCACCUUUGCCUUUGCCCCUCCCAGACCCUGGGAUGCUAUCCCCCUGGCUCUCCACAUGGCUAGCUGCUUCUCAUCCUCCACCAGGCUUCCUUGAUCCCUGACCUAGAGUUAACUGUUUGCUCUGUUUAUUCUCUUCACUAUCCUGUUCACAAAUCAUGACUCUUUGGAUUGUUUGUGUCAUGUAAUGAGAUGUUAAUGUGUGAUUCUUUAUGUCUUUGUGAGGCCCCUAAGUCCAAGAACUAACCAGUGGGGAUGAAUUCCAAAGUGGGGCUGGUCAUCCUGUACACAACCUGCAAAGGAGGUGAUGAACACUAAUUUUGUGGCUUUUACUGUAUCCCCACCUUGAGGCUAGAAAAGGAUUGAAGUUAAGGAGGGAAAGAGAUUUUUCAUUUGGAGAUGGUUCCUGAAAUGCCAGGCACUUCACUACUGCCACCAUGGGGCUUCUUCUGUGCUUUAAUUCUGUGACAAGGAUCUCAAAAGGAGGGCUUGAUUGUGUGUCCUAGAGUCCUGGCCAGUGGUUGAUAUCUGCCCAAAGAGCCUAAAGAAGUGCUGUCUGGCACUAUGCACCUGAUAGAAUUUGCCAGACAGGGCAGCCCUGGGCAAAAUCCACAUAUCCUCUGGCAGCAGGGCCAAGCUUUUAGUCUUCUGAAGCCUGCUUAAAAGAGACCUGGCUCAAGAGGGUAUAGGGAGGUGAGAGAGUAAGCCAGAUACUUCUAGGCUAAGGGUUGGCAGUGUAAGCUACUGGCCAGAGACUUCUCUGGGUCAGGGAGCUGGCAGCAGAAUCUCUGAGAGAGCUGACAAGUGCCCAAGGUGGGGAAGAGCUUCUGAUUCCCACAAAGCACUAAGUUAUGAGGUGACUUAGACCUUGCUCUCUGGUAUCUCUCCUCCCUUCCCCAGCCUAACCCCUAAAGAAUCAGAAGCCUGUGCUGAGGGAAAGGGAGCAGCCCAGGAAAGAAGGAUGAGCCGACUGUGCUCCCUUUUCUCACUGAAGCCUAACAUAGCUUUGAGCUGAGGGAGGCAAGAAACUCUGGGCUUUGCCUUCUUAUGCUGACAUUUGAAUUCCUGAAAGGACACUGUUCUUGGGACUAGAAGUGACCAGAGCACAUAUUGUCAUCUAAAAGUCAGGAUAAACAGUUUUGGGACUGCUUAAGAGUUCAUUCAAAGGCCAAGGAGGAAGGAAGCCUCCAUUCUAGUGCAAAGGGACAGCAAGAGGAAGGAAUAAGGCUGCCUUCUGCUCAACACAAUGGUUAUUCUUGUUUGUCUGGCUUUAGCUGGAUGGGCUUCCUGAGGGCAGGGAUGCAGUCUGCAUUGCUUAUUUUGGAGAUCCCAACCCCUAUAUGUGAUUGGACGGUGGCUCACUCUGCUGGUGACCCCUGUGGGGGUCACCAAGCACCCUUGGAUCUUUUUAUGGGGUUGGGGUGCUGUGUCCCUAGCUGCCCUGGAUGCAGCUGCUGAGGACUCACACCUGAACCCUACUUGUGUGAUUACUAGCCAAUCCUUGCUUAACUUCCUCCUUCGACCUCUGCAACUCGCCCCCUCACUUCAUUUACAGCUUUCCUGAGAGCACUUCUUAAUAAGUCACCUGCACAUGAAUCUACGUCUCAGUUUCUACUUCUAGGGAAUUGGACCUAAGUCAGUCCAUAUGAGUUGAAUGAAUGGAGAAAUUCUACCUACAAGCUUUUUGAGACUGAAACGCAUGACCCCGGGAAACAUUCGGCCACAUGGAAGAAAGUGCUUAUAGGAUUAGAUCAGACAUCUUCUUCGAGGAGGAGUUCUCAAAUAAUUGGCCCUCAGUGAGAUCCUGUCUUACACUUCUAUGACCCCAAGUAGAACCAUAAUCCUCCUCUUUGUGACUUGAGGAGACCAUUGAGCCAGCAGAAAUCUGCCCUUUCAGGAACACAAAGAUGAUGGCUUUGGAGUAAAAGUUGGGAGAAAACAGCAGCUUGAAUCCGUUUCUCAACUUUAAGGCGGAACUUCAACGCCUAUUUCCCAGAUGGCUGAAGAAACUUUCAGAAACAGCAGGACCCACGUGCCCCCAAUCUUGCAGAGUUGCAUCCGUAGGUGUCUGUGCUGGAUGGAGGACAUCUCUGAGAAGGCGCCGUGCUCCCCUGCUGACUAGCCCACCACUCGUGGGUGGUGCCUGCUGGGUGCCAAGGCCAGUGUGAGGCUAAGAAUGUCUUUCAUAUGGGACGCCUGGGUGGCCCAACAGUUGAGCGUCUGUGUUUGGCAUGAUCUUGGGUUCAGGGAUCAAGUCCCACAUCGGGGUCCCUGUGAUGAGCCUGCUUCUCCCUCUGCCUUUGUCUCUGCCUCUGUCUCUGUGUCUCUCAUGAAUAAAUUAAAAAACCCUUAAAAAAAAAAAAAAGAAUGUCCCUCAUAAAACCCUACCCAGGGCUGUAAGUUGCUAACACAGUCCAACAUCCUGAAUUUUCUCCACCAUCCUCCUGAUGCAACAGCCUGCAUGGUAUAUGGUCCCUCCUCAAGGGUAUAUUGGUUUAACUCCUUGCUGUUCAAAGUGUGGUCCAUGGAUCAGCAACACUGGCAUCAUCUGGGAGUUUGUUAAAACUGUAGACUCUUGGUCCCCCACCCUAGACCUACUGAAUUGGAAUCCUCAUUUGAACAAGAUCCCUAGAUUUUUUAAUUUCCCAUUAAAUUUCAAGAGGCAGAUAAACCAAGUAUAUCACAACCACCCAAAAAGGAUUGCUGACUUUCCAGCCCAUGACCAAGCCCAUCUCUUCAGAUCAGCCAAUUCCAUCAGUUUAAGAUCUGUUCAUUGCAACAGUCAUACUUAUUGCCACCAAAUUCUGCAUUACCUAGCAUGUAUUUGCUGGGUCCAAGUCACCAAAAAUCCAACUCAAGUUAGCCUAAUUAAUAGGGAAAUUUUCAAGUUGGAUGCUAGAUA
Long non-coding RNA from Canis lupus familiaris (dog), 6050 nucleotides. RefSeq lists it as uncharacterized. The record is from RefSeq and is a predicted model, not a curated record. The transcript is spliced from 5 exons. NCBI's taxonomy places the organism in Eukaryota, Metazoa, Chordata, Mammalia, Carnivora, Canidae.